CGUGGUAGGCUCGUCGUCCCGUCCCUCCCCUCCCCGCGAUCGCUCUACAGAAAUUACAUGGAUUGCCACCGCUUCUCUUCUCCUUCUCUCCACGGGCGCGCUCGGUACAGAGGAAAGAGAGCCAACGACAGGAGGGAGGGGCCGCCACCGUCGGACUCGACCGCCCGCGCCAACGCCAACGGAUGAGAUCUCCACCGCCGCGUCCCUCCCUCUCCUCAUCCCGAUCUGGAUCGCCUCCCUCCGCUCUCCCGUCAUCCCGAUCUGGAUGGCCGCAGCGGCAUCGCCGCCCGCCGCUGGGGCCAUGGCGCCAGCCCGAGCCGCUGUCCGCCUCGUCCUCUCCUCCUCAUCCUGAUCUGGAACGCCGGCAGGUGCAUCGCCGCCCGCUGCCGGGGACAACCCGCCUCGCCCUCUCCCCCUCAUCCCGAUCUGGAUCGAGCCAACGAGCGUCUGUACCCUUUCCCCGCCGCAGGGACAUCGCCGCCCGGCCCGAUUCCGCGUGUGGGGCGUGGACUCGGACCCCCUUGACUACCUCAGCGGGUCAAGCGGCUGGUCCUCCGGAGUUGGAGUUCUCCUGAUCCGUUCAGAGGUUAGCGGUGAUUUCUGUUCUUUUCUUUUGCAUUACAAGCACUAAGACAUGUGACACAUGAGUUAGAAACAUCCAUUUUUACUGCUACUAAGUUCCUAUGAGUACUCAUUAUUAAGUUUUACUAUUUCCAGUGAUAUAGCUAUAGCUGCAAGGCAUAUUAAGUGUUUUAGUUCCAUCUAGGCAUACAAUCAGAUACAAGUUUAUCAUUCCCUGCUUAGACAUCAGCUAUGUAACAGUAGCAAGAAAAUCAUGUUCGGAGUUAAGUGCAAUGGAGUAGAAAGUCAUGGUUUCUUACGGAAAAUUGCAGGUAAUCACGAGAAACCUUUUUUUUAAUCUUCUGAGCAUUCUUUUUAUCACUUAGGCUGCAUACAGGAUGGCAAGAUGGAAGGACAAAAUUGAGAAACCAUACUGAUAUACUGUUUACUUGUUCUCUUUUUGUGCAGUUUGUUAAUUCUUUGUUUUUCCUUGCCAGUAGCUGGCCUUAUUAGGAGACAGUGGCUUUUUCUCAGUACCACAAUAGCCAAGGCAUGUCAUUGAGAAAACAUCGAGACUGAUUCAAGACUGCACAAGUGCGCAUUAUUCCAGUUUCAUAGCUGCUGCAAUCUAAUUGUUAGGUACCUCCAGAUUUGAGAUGUUGUUAAUUGACAUUCCACUUAUUGUUUUGCUAGGAAACCUCAUGUUAUAUCUAUCUUACAACAAUGGCAACUUCAGAAUUGGAGUGAUGUUCUUUCUUUCCAGUUUCUUAGUACCAUAAAUAAUUCAGACACUCGGCAACAAUAAUUCAGAGUUAGCUAUUUGAUGACUAGCAAGUAUUGCGUUUUAUUGCUCUUUCUUUCCCUCGUCAUUUUAGGACGAGGUCCCCUGAUAGGCUUAGAUUUUUUAUGGUCCGAAAUAAGCCUUCAACUUUAGAUUUUCCAUGGUCCGAAAUAAGCAGUAACAAUAAGCAUCUGAACAGAUUUAUCUUGGUCACAGUACUAUUCAGAUGCUAGGUCUCAGAAGCUCAUCUGUGAAAGUUCAUAGCAUGUUUUGCUUCGCAAGUGUUCAUAACUAUCAAAAUAUUAUUUGGCCGCAUUCUGGGAAAUAAGGAGGACUGUCCCUUGUGCUUACUUUAUGUGGACAGUAAGAGCGGCAGGCUAUAUGCAGAGUAAUGGAAAUUGUUCUAGCCAAACUGAUUAGUGAGCUAGCUCAUAGAUUUAUCUAGCUAUUUACAGAGGCUCUAAACAGAUGUCUCCACUAAACUAUCCCAGCUUGAUUUCUAAAUCACAUUUGUAACAUUGGGGUUCAUCAUGUAAUGAAACUUCUUCACACGAAAAUAAGAAGCACACAAUGCUCUUAAUGUUCAACCUGUCUGAAUUGCUGAACAAUAUAUAUAUGUGUUAUAUGUUGGGUGUAUUUGGACAGAUGUAAUUUUAGGGAAUC
This is a long non-coding RNA of Brachypodium distachyon (stiff brome), 2005 nucleotides long. RefSeq lists it as uncharacterized. The record is from RefSeq and is a predicted model, not a curated record. NCBI's taxonomy places the organism in Eukaryota, Viridiplantae, Streptophyta, Magnoliopsida, Poales, Poaceae. The transcript has 2 exons.